Molecule: ribosomal RNA, 468 nt
Filed under: uncultured bacterium
Lineage: Bacteria
Description: partial 16S ribosomal RNA
Rfam family: Bacterial small subunit ribosomal RNA
Source: RNAcentral
GACGAACGCUGGCGGCGUGCUUAACACAUGCAAGUCGAACGGAAAGGCCCUGCUGUUGUGGGGUGCUCGAGUGGCGAACGGGUGAGUAACACGUGAGUAACCUGCCCUUGACUUUGGGAUAACUUCAGGAAACUGGGGCUAAUACCGGAUAGGAGCUCCUGCUGCAUGGUGGGGGUUGGAAAGAUUCGGCGGUUGGGGAUGGACUCGCGGCUUAACAGCUUGUUGGUGGAGUAGUGGCUUACCAAGGCUUUGACGGGUAGUCUGCAUUAGAGGGUGACCGGCUUCCUUACGACUGAGAUACGGCCCAGACUCCUACGGAGAGCAGCAGUCGCGAAUAUUGCACAAUGCACCGAGGCCUUCUGCAGCAACACCGCGUGCUGAAUCACAGCCUUCGCGUUGUAAGCCGCUUUCGCCUGUGACAAUGCGUGAGUGACGGUAAUCCAUAAAGAAGCACCUGCUAACUACGUG